UUGGAGGGCAAGUCUGGUGCCAGCAGCCGCGGUAAUUCCAGCUCCAAUAGCGUAUAUUAAAGUUGUUGCAGUUAAAAAGCUCGUAGUUGAAUUUCGAGACCGGUUUACUGGUCGUGCUUUUGUACGUACUGGUAUUAUUGGUUUCUCCUUUCUGACGAAUCUUAAUGCCAUUAAUUUGGUGUUUUGGGGAAUCAGGACUGUUACUUUGAAAAAAUUAGAGUGUUUAAAGCAGGCUCACGCUUGAAUACAUUAGCAUGGAAUAACGGAAUAGGACGUUUGAUUUUAUUUUGUUGGUUUCUAGGAUCGACGUAAUGAUUAAUAGGGAUAGUUGGGGGCAUUAGUAUUCAAUUGUCAGAGGUGAAAUUCUUGGAUUCAUUGAAGACUAACUACUGCGAAAGCAUUUGCCAAGGAUGUUUUCAUUAAUCAAGAACGAAAGUUAGGGGAUCGAAGACGAUCAGAUACCGUCGUAGUCUUAACCAUAAACUAUGCCGACUAGGGAUCGGAUGAUGUUAAUUUUUUAAUGACUCAUUCGGCGCCUUACGGGAAAC
Molecule: ribosomal RNA, 548 nt
Filed under: uncultured Glomeromycotina
Lineage: Eukaryota; Fungi; Glomeromycota
Description: SSU rRNA
Rfam family: Eukaryotic small subunit ribosomal RNA
Source: RNAcentral